Molecule: non-coding RNA, 854 nt
Organism: Nicotiana tabacum (common tobacco)
Lineage: Eukaryota; Viridiplantae; Streptophyta; Magnoliopsida; Solanales; Solanaceae
Source: RefSeq, a predicted model, not a curated record
AAAAAUCCCUCAAACUCCUUGAAUUUUAGAUCUAGGAAACUUUAGCCGCCACUUUUUGGUCCAAAUUCUUGAAGCUCCGGCCAACACCACCCUACAACACAUACAUGAAUGGAUAGAGCUCCACGAGACCUAUCUUUUCCUACCCAUUUCAUCCCCAAAAUCCCCGUCGUCGCCGACCCGCUCCUCACCGCCGCCACGACUCCACUGCCUCACCACCGCCAAAAUGCCCCGAACCCCCAUCUUAGCUAUUUUCUACUCAAAGACACUCAUUUCUUUUGGCGAGAAGCUGGAACGCAUUUCGUUUUAGCAUCUACCCGAAAGAAACGUGCUUUUCGGAGUCGGGUAGUCGCCUUUUAGCAUCUCCGACGUCUUCUCGUGGCUCGAACAGCUUCAAGCAUACUUGUUAGUCAAAAAGCAAGAACCAACCACAUGUCAUCAAGUGGCUUAAAAUGGCAUGGGCCAAUCAGAAUCAAGCAAGAGAGUUCAUGUGUAGCUGGACUGUCCAUCCUCUACAACUAUAAAUAGAGGGGUUGCAUAACUCUCAAGACAUUCAGAGUUGGAGAAAAACACUUCGCAAUUGGUGAAGGCAUCCACAAACAGAGAGAUCAGUCAUCAAGUGCAUAGUUCUUCAACAAAGGAGUGAUCAACGGAGUUCUUCCCGGAGAUCAACCCGUAACAACAAAGUGCUGCUCAACGUUCUUGGCGAUUAAAUAUAUCACAAGGAGGUCUGCAUCGCCCUACAUUCGAGAAAGACGCUUCUCAAGCCCUCGAAUCAUUUUAGAGAGGAGAAUCAAGGGAUACAUAGAAUUGUACUCACAAAUAUUUAUCAAUAAAAUCUCUUUUUCUUCAUAUUA